GAUCAGCUCAGGAUGAACGCUAGCUACAGGCUUAACACAUGCAAGUCGAGGGGCAGCAUCAUCAAAGCUUGCUUUGAUGGAUGGCGACCGGCGCACGGGUGAGUAACACGUAUCCAACCUGCCGACAACACUGGGAUAGCCUUUCGAAAGAAAGAUUAAUACCGGAUGGUAUAGCUUUCCCGCAUGGGAUAAUUAUUAAAGAAUUUCGGUUGUCGAUGGGGAUGCGUUCCAUUAGG
Molecule: ribosomal RNA, 236 nt
Filed under: uncultured bacterium
Lineage: Bacteria
Description: partial 16S ribosomal RNA
Rfam family: Bacterial small subunit ribosomal RNA
Source: RNAcentral